RNAcentral lists this ribosomal RNA (497 nucleotides) under uncultured bacterium. Its description in RNAcentral is "partial 16S ribosomal RNA". It matches the Rfam family "Bacterial small subunit ribosomal RNA", at positions 28 to 507 of the family's 1533-position model. The record is from RNAcentral.
GAUGAACGCUGGCGGCGUGCCUAAUACAUGCAAGUCGAGCGAACAGACGAGGAGCUUGCUCCUCUGACGUUAGCGGCGGACGGGUGAGUAACACGUGGAUAACCUACCUAUAAGACUGGGAUAACUUCGGGAAACCGGAGCUAAUACCGGAUAACAUGUUGAACCGCAUGGUUCAACAGUGAAAGACGGUCUUGCUGUCGCUUAUAGAUGGAUCCGCGCCGCAUUAGCUAGUUGGUAAGGUAACGGCUUACCAAGGCAACGAUGCGUAGCCGACCUGAGAGGGAGAUCGGCCACACUGGAACGGAGACACGGUCCCGACGCCUACGGGAGGCAGCAGUAGGGAAUCUUCCGCAAUGGGCGAAAGCCUGACGGAGCAACGCCGCGUGAGUGAAGAAGGUCUUCGGAUCGUAAAACUCUGUUAUUAGGGAAGAACAAAUGUGUAAGUAACUAUGCACGUCUUGACGGUACCUAAUCAGAAAGCCACGGCUAGCUACGUG